CCCUUAGAUGUUCUGGGCCGCCCGCGCGCUACACUGACGAUGGCAACGAGUUUUUCCUUCGCCGAAAGGUGUGGGUAAUCUUUUGAAACAUCGUCGUGCUGGGGAUAGAUCAUUGCAAUUUUUGAUCUUGAACGAGGAAUUCCUAGUAAGCGCGAGUCAUCAGCUCGCGUUGAUUACGUCCCUGCCCUUUGUACACACCGCCCGUCGCUACUACCGAUUGAAUGGUUUAGUGAGGACUCCUGAUUGGCGCCGCCGCCCCGGCAACGGAGCAGCGGACUGCCGAAAAGUUGUUCAAACUUGAUCAUUUAGAGGAAGUAAAAGUCGUAACA
RNAcentral lists this ribosomal RNA (329 nucleotides) under uncultured eukaryote. Its description in RNAcentral is "partial 18S ribosomal RNA". It matches the Rfam family "Eukaryotic small subunit ribosomal RNA", at positions 1470 to 1796 of the family's 1831-position model. The record is from RNAcentral.